CCUACGGGAGGCAGCAGUGGGGAAUAUUGGACAAUGGGCGAAAGCCUGAUCCAGCCAUGCCGCGUGUGUGAAGAAGGUCUUCGGAUUGUAAAGCACUUUAAGUUGGGAGGAAGGGUUGUAGAUUAAUACUCUGCAAUUUUGACGUUACCGACAGAAUAAGCACCGGCUAACUCUGUGCCAGCAGCCGCGGUAAUACAGAGGGUGCAAGCGUUAAUCGGAAUUACUGGGCGUAAAGCGCGCGUAGGUGGUUUGUUAAGUUGGAUGUGAAAUCCCCGGGCUCAACCUGGGAACCGCAUCCAAAACUGGCAAGCUAGAGUAUGGUAGAGGGUGGUGGAAUUUCCUGUGUAGCGGUGAAAUGCGUAGAUAUAGGAAGGAACACCAGUGGCGAAGGCGACCACCUGGACUGAUACUGACACUGAGGUGCGAAAGCGUGGGGAGCAAACAGGAUUAGAUACCCUGGUAGUCCACGCCGUAAACGAUGUCAACUAGCCGUUGGGAGCCUUGAGCUCUUAGUGGCGCNGCACGACAUAAGUUAGUACCGCCGUGGGAGGUACGGCCGCGAACGGUUAAAACGUUAAAAGGUAAAGUUAGUACGGCGUGAGACGUGACCGACGGACGACGACGAGGGAGGAGG
Molecule: ribosomal RNA, 634 nt
Filed under: uncultured bacterium
Lineage: Bacteria
Description: bacterial SSU rRNA
Rfam family: Bacterial small subunit ribosomal RNA (bases 1-543)
Source: RNAcentral